AAUUGAAAAAGCGGUAUCACCUGUUUGUUUUUAUUUUAUAUACUACCUUUGCAUUUCAGCAAAGGAGAAAUGUCUGAACAUUGAGAGUUGAUUGGCCCAUUCUUAUAUUUUUUGUUACUUUUGAGAUAUGCAGAUAAUGUUUACAAAGUAAGUAAGGAAGAAAAGUUGGCAGAGGGACUCAGGUCAUUCCAUAGGGAGUAAAUGAAGCAUUGUUUUUAACUCCAUAGGGCAAUCCUUGAGCUGCUGGAUCUGUUUCUUAGUGGAAUAUUGCAAAACAGACACAGUAGGGGGGAAGAAACUAAGCUUUAUACAUGAUUUACAGACAUGCAAAGCUGUAGAUGCUGUGCCCAUUAAUGAGAUGUUUAGUAUUUAAAAUUCCUUCCUUUCAUGAAGUUACACCUUUGUGCAUAGACUUCCAUGUUUUGUCCUUGUAUUUAUGCUGAAAUAAAUCAAGAGGUGCAUAUUUAUAGUUCUUGUGAAGUUUAUUAACAACAAUUGCUUUACUAUAAUAAUAAUAAUAAUUAGACUAACAUGUGGGGAUGGCAAAAUAUUAAAGAUGUGGUUUUCAGACAGGUCGAUUUCAUGGUUAAGACUUUCAAAAAUUUUAGUUAAUGUUUUUGGAUAACCAAAUGAGUAACUACAUUUCUAAAAGUUCAUUAAUUAUCACAGUUUUUGCUUGUCAGACCACGUUAAUAUUGUCAAAAUAUGAAAAUCAGUUAAUAUGAGAAACAAACUUAAUAACAGGAUGGCUAGUGAUAGUGAUUCAGUUACCAACUUCUAUUUGCCUGUGACAUGCUAUUCACUGGUAACAUAGCAGCAUUUUGUUUUUCUCCUGAUACUUAAAUGCUGGCUACUGGACAGAAUACAAAGCAACAUUUACACACAAAGGUGAUGGAUGUGUCCAACAAAGGUAACAUCUCAUGUCUGAAGGAGUGGAGUGUUGUAAAUAGAAAGAGUGUACUAUGUUGUACAUUGCUUUCAAAGGGAAAACUGUUCUUGCUGCUACUCAUGCUGAUAGUACAUGCAGUUGAUGGCAGCAUGCAAACUCACUAGACUGUGCGGCAACUGACCUUCCUCCAAGUAAGCACAAUUUUACUGGUCAAGAAACCUCCUUUCAAGUCAGGUUCUGUAAGAAAGAAUUCAGCUCAAGGCUGGAGUUUGGCUGCUCACUUAGUUUAUGAGCAAUAUUGCUUGUAUGUAGCAUGCUGUUUUUUCCAGGUCUGUACUCUCCAAACGCAUCCCCAGCCUGGCAUUUGUGUACAAAUUAAUACAC
Long non-coding RNA from Oxyura jamaicensis (ruddy duck), 1273 nucleotides. RefSeq lists it as uncharacterized. The transcript is spliced from 2 exons. NCBI's taxonomy places the organism in Eukaryota, Metazoa, Chordata, Aves, Anseriformes, Anatidae. The record is from RefSeq and is a predicted model, not a curated record.